GUCAAGUCAUCAUGCCCCUUACGUCCAGGGCUGCACACAUGCUACAAUGGCCGGUACAGAGGGCUGCGAUCUCGCGAGAGUGAGCCAAUCCCACAAAGCCGGUCUCAGUUCGGAUUGCAGUCUGCAACUCGACUGCAUGAAGUCGGAGUCGCUAGUAAUCGCAGAUCAGCAACGCUGCGGUGAAUACGUUCCCGGGCCUU
Molecule: ribosomal RNA, 200 nt
Filed under: uncultured organism
Description: partial small subunit ribosomal RNA
Rfam family: Bacterial small subunit ribosomal RNA
Source: RNAcentral